GAGGUUGUAGCUCAAGUGGUAGAGCACAUGCUUAGCAUGCAUGGGGUCCUGGGUUUAAUCCCCAGUACCUCCU
Molecule: non-coding RNA, 73 nt
Organism: Camelus ferus (Wild Bactrian camel)
Lineage: Eukaryota; Metazoa; Chordata; Mammalia; Artiodactyla; Camelidae
Source: Rfam